CAACUGCAUUCAAAUAAGCAUCCGGAACUCGUUCGGCUACAAUAGGAAACACAGCAACACAAGUGUCUCCCCAGUUAUGAAUGCGAUCAGUGCACUUUUAAAAGUUAUGGAUAGGAAAUGACGAUGGGGACGCCGACAUCUAUGGUACUUCCCUUACAUACGUGACGUGGCCAAGAAGACAAACGCGAAUGUGAAGCGACGAGCUUUCUAACAAAUCGAUCAGUCAGAAACACCAUUCUGCUCAAAAAUCAAACAAGCUACCAGUAAUAAUGGUGACGGACGUACAACUGGCGAUUUUCGCCAAUAUGCUCGGCGUUUCGCUCUUCCUGCUGGUGGUCCUUUACCAUUACGUUGCUGUCAAUAACCCAAAGAAACUGGAGUGAAGUAGCUCUCCAACUGAUUUGGAAGGGACCAUUCCGUGUGUGAUGAGACUCCUCGAUUGCCAUAAUGGAACGACAUGCACUGCUUAAAUCAGCCUGUAAAUGACUAUUUUGUUUGGAUUAUGUUGUGAAUAAAAAUAUUCAUGGAGUUGCUUUAA
Molecule: RNA transcript, 538 nt
Organism: Anguilla anguilla (European eel)
Lineage: Eukaryota; Metazoa; Chordata; Actinopteri; Anguilliformes; Anguillidae
Gene: ost4
Gene name: oligosaccharyltransferase complex subunit 4 (non-catalytic)
Exons: 5
Source: RefSeq, a predicted model, not a curated record